UGGGGAAUAUUGCACAAUGGGCGCAAGCCUGAUGCAGCCAUGCCGCGUGUGUGAAGAAGGCCUUCGGGUUGUAAAGCACUUUCAGCGAGGAGGAAGGUGGUGAGCUUAAUACGCUCAUCAAUUGACGUUACUCGCAGAAGAAGCACCGGCUAACUCCGUGCCAGCAGCCGCGGUAAUACGGAGGGUGCAAGCGUUAAUCGGAAUUACUGGGCGUAAAGCGCACGCAGGCGGCUUGUUAAGUCAGAUGUGAAAUCCCCGGGCUCAACCUGGGAACUGCAUUUGAAACUGGCAAGCUAGAGUCUCGUAGAGGGGGGUAGAAUUCCAGGUGUAGCGGUGAAAUGCGUAGAGAUCUGGAGGAAUACCGGUGGCGAAGGCGGCCCCCUGGACGAAGACUGACGCUCAGGUGCGAAAGCGUGGGGAGCAAACAGAUUAG
Molecule: ribosomal RNA, 433 nt
Filed under: uncultured bacterium
Lineage: Bacteria
Description: partial 16S ribosomal RNA
Rfam family: Bacterial small subunit ribosomal RNA
Source: RNAcentral